This 514-nucleotide ribosomal RNA is filed under the name uncultured Roseiflexus sp. RNAcentral describes it as "bacterial SSU rRNA". It matches the Rfam family "Bacterial small subunit ribosomal RNA", at positions 128 to 656 of the family's 1533-position model. Lineage: Bacteria; Bacillati; Chloroflexota; Chloroflexia; Chloroflexales; Roseiflexaceae. The record is from RNAcentral.
GCCUCGAAGCGCGGGAUAACGCCCCGAAAGGGGUGCUAAUACCGCCUAAGCUCACGGUCUGUAGAGGACUGGGAGAAAAGGCGCAAGCCACUUCGAGAGGAGGCUGCGUCCCAUCAGGUAGUUGGUGCGGUAACGGCGCACCAAGCCGACGACGGGUCGGGGGUCUGAGAGGAUGAUCCCCCACACUGGGACUGAGACACGGCCCAGACUCCUACGGGAGGCAGCAGUGAGGAAUAUUGGUCAAUGGGGGCAACCCUGAACCAGCGACGCCGCGUGGGUGAUGAAGGUCUUCGGAUCGUAAAACCCUUUUCCAGGUGGCGAGAAACAGGACGGUAGCCUGGGAAGAAGCCUCGGCUAACUACGUGCCAGCAGCCGCGGUAAAACGUAGGAGGCGAGCGUUAUCCGGAGUUACUGGGCGUAAAGCGCGUGCAGGCGGUGGCUCAAGUGAGGGGUGAAAGCGCCCGGCUAAACUGGGCGAGGUCCUCUCAGACUGGGUGACUGGAGGGCGAUAGAG